GCUCAUUAUAUCAGUUAUAGUUUAUUAGAAAUAUUUUACUACUUGGAUAACCGUAGUAAUUCUAGGGCUAAUACAUGAGUAAAUCCUCAACUUCGGAAGAGGUGUGUUUAUUAGUAUGAAAACCAUAUAUCUUCGGAUAUAAUAGUGAGUAAUAAUAACCUUUCAUAUCGUAUGUCGUAAGAUAACGAUAGUUCUUUCAAGUUUCUGCCCUAUCAGCUUUCGAUGGUAGUAUAUGGGACUACCAUGGCAGUAACGGGUAACGAAGAAUUUGGGUUCGAUUUCGGAGAGGGAGCCUGAGAGAUGGCUACCACAUCCAAGGAAGGCAGCAGGCGCGUAAAUUACCCAAUCCUGACAUAGGGAGGUAGUGACAAUAAAUCACAAUGCGGAACUUUUAGUUUUGCCAUUGGAUUGAGAACAAUGUACAAAUGUUAUCGAUAAC
Molecule: ribosomal RNA, 439 nt
Filed under: Blastocystis sp. subtype 5
Lineage: Eukaryota; Bigyra; Opalinata; Blastocystidae
Description: SSU rRNA
Rfam family: Eukaryotic small subunit ribosomal RNA
Source: RNAcentral